GCUUCUAUGUGGAGUCUACAACUUCAUACAGUCUCAGUUCCGGUACCACUUGAGGCAUUCUGGAGGUAUAAUAGUACUAGGAAGAGGACCUUCAAGAAGCUUAACAUAGUUGCUAAUGGUGAUGCCAAGAAUUCGAAGAAUCUUCCGCACCAAAUUAUGGUUGUCAAGUCCAACAAGCCCAAUUUACCUGUUCUACUUCAAGACGCUGUUACCAAAUUACAAGAGAGCGUCAAAUCUAUACCUCCCCCUUCCCUCCUGGUAAAGAAACAUUCUGGUGUUAGUUUACCAAUUGCACUGUCUACCAUGGUCACCUUGUUGGUUAUUAUACUGAGGAAUUAUGUUGCAAAAAGGUCAAAACCCAACCGCCCUGGGUCUGUAGCUGAUCUUGUUAGGCGUGGGCAAUUAAGAUCGGAUAGAAGAGGCAUAUCA
Molecule: unclassified non-coding RNA, 429 nt
Filed under: Hevea brasiliensis (rubber tree)
Lineage: Eukaryota; Viridiplantae; Streptophyta; Magnoliopsida; Malpighiales; Euphorbiaceae
Source: RNAcentral